This 620-nucleotide ribosomal RNA is filed under the name uncultured bacterium. RNAcentral describes it as "bacterial SSU rRNA". It matches the Rfam family "Bacterial small subunit ribosomal RNA", at positions 28 to 674 of the family's 1533-position model. The record is from RNAcentral.
GACGAACGCUGGCGGUGUGCUUCACACAUGCAAGUCGAACGGAGUAGCAAUACUCAGUGGCGGACGGGUGAGUAACACGUGGGAAUCUACCACUAGGUGGGGAAUAACAGGCCGAAAGGACUGCUAAUGCCGCAUAUGUAGGCAUCUCGACAGAGAUGUUUAUGAAAGGAGUAAUCCGCCUUUUGAUGAGCCCGCGUCCGAUUAGCUAGUUGGUAGGGUAAAAGCCUACCAAGGCGACGAUCGGUAGGUGGUCUGAGAGGAUGAUCACCCACAAUGGGACUGAGACACGGCCCAUACUCCUACGGGAGGCAGCAGUGGGGAAUUUUACGCAAUGGGGGAAACCCUGACGUAGCGACACCGCGUGAGCGAAGAAGCCCUUUGGGGUGUAAAGCUCUGUCAACAGGAACGAAACAAAUGACGGUACCUGUGGAGGAAGCAUCGGCUAACUACGUGCCAGCAGCCGCGGUAAGACGUAGGAUGCAAGCGUUGUCCGGAUUUAUUGGGCGUAAAGAGUUCGUAGGCGGUUUGUUAAGUCUGAUGUUAAAGACCGGGGCUCAACCUCGGAAAUGCAUUGGAUACUGGCAGACUGGAGUGCAGUAGAGGCUAGUGGAAUUCCCAGU